CUCGAGACCCACAAAGCCCUGUACAGAUAUGAGGCGCUCUGGAUUAACUUGCCGAAUGAAGGGGUGUGAUUGAGGAAUGAGGCAUACAAUUCUCUUGGCUCUUUUGCAGAACAUUAAGGACCUUCCUGCCCUGAGAUUCUUCCUGCUCUAAGCCACUUGCCCAAGGGUGGAAUUAAGAAUCUCCUCAUCACAGCGUUAUAGGAAUUCGACGUGAUUUUGCACCAUCCCGACCCAGCCCAGGACCUGGCACAGGGAGGGCCCCCAGAAGACUUGAGGCCUCCCUUCCUGCCAGACACUGUGCCCAGCACAGGAGCACAGAUGCCCGAGUCUUAGUUCCUGCCUGCGGGGAGCUUGGGUUAUAAAGUGCAGGGAGCUGAA
Molecule: long non-coding RNA, 378 nt
Organism: Leopardus geoffroyi (Geoffroy's cat)
Lineage: Eukaryota; Metazoa; Chordata; Mammalia; Carnivora; Felidae
Exons: 2
Source: RefSeq, a predicted model, not a curated record